This 75-nucleotide transfer RNA is filed under the name Candidatus Parcubacteria bacterium. RNAcentral describes it as "tRNA-Arg". It matches the Rfam family "tRNA". Rfam says of the family: Transfer RNA (tRNA) molecules are approximately 80 nucleotides in length. Their secondary structure includes four short double-helical elements and three loops (D, anti-codon, and T loops). The record is from RNAcentral. Lineage: Bacteria; Candidatus Parcubacteria.
GCCCCCAUAGCUUAACGGAUAAAGCGCAGCCCUCCGGAGGUUGAAAUCCCUGUUCGAUUCAGGGUGGGGGCACAA